CUUCUGCAAAUCAGCCACUGUUGAAUGCUACAACUUGGUCUUUACAAUCUCAUUCUAUGUCCUCAGCCAAAGCUACACCAGAAAGCAAUGUAUUAAAUCAUGACUCUGCUAAAGCUGAGGGAAAUACUGAUUUGGGUUUGUCACGGGCUGCUUCUCAAGCUGCAAGAGAUCAAGCAUUCAGACCAUUUAUUCCUCAAAGUACAGCUGCAAAUUUGCCUGGUGUACAUCAACCUGUGCAAGGUGUGAAGGUUGUCCAAACCUCAUCAUUUUUCAAUAACCACAAUGAAAUUGCUAAAAUUAUUCAGAAGCUGCUGCAACCAAAACUUCCUGAACAUCCCACGUGGACUCCACCUUCUAGGGAAUAUAUGAAUAAGCCUUUGACUUGCCAGAUGUGCAAAGUCACUGUCAAUGAGGUGGAAACCAUAGUCCUUUGUGAUGCUUGUGAGAAAGGAUUUCA
Molecule: unclassified non-coding RNA, 457 nt
Filed under: Hevea brasiliensis (rubber tree)
Lineage: Eukaryota; Viridiplantae; Streptophyta; Magnoliopsida; Malpighiales; Euphorbiaceae
Source: RNAcentral